AUUGUGAAUGCUGGCAUCUCUGCUACUGCAUUGACGAGCACGUUUAGAUAAAGGUUCGUUUGGAGAUUGACGACGUUUAAACUAAUGCCAUAGUAGACGACUGAGCACAAGAAGUUAAUGGUAACGGCCAAAAACAGGCGUAUACGCGUCAAUGGGGACUUAAUAACAUCUAUGACAGAACCUGUGACUGCUUCUUUUGUCGCCAAUUCUUCCUUGUAAUUUUGUUUGCCAUUUGAAGCAUCAUUUUCUUGUUCGUCAUCAAGCAUGAGAACAACCCCAUCAGGCAAAUGGCGCCCGUUAGACUUGGCAAUAGCACGCAUGAUUUUCAUGGCCUCAUUUAGUUUGCCUCGAACAAGAUACC
Molecule: long non-coding RNA, 361 nt
Filed under: Citrus sinensis (sweet orange)
Lineage: Eukaryota; Viridiplantae; Streptophyta; Magnoliopsida; Sapindales; Rutaceae
Description: long non-coding RNA (CSIN_LNC001698)
Source: RNAcentral